This 497-nucleotide ribosomal RNA is filed under the name uncultured bacterium. RNAcentral's name for it is "partial 16S ribosomal RNA". It matches the Rfam family "Bacterial small subunit ribosomal RNA", at positions 28 to 507 of the family's 1533-position model. The record is from RNAcentral.
GAUGAACGCUGGCGGCGUGCCUAAUACAUGCAAGUCGAGCGAACGGACGAGAAGCUUGCUUCUCUGAUGUUAGCGGCGGACGGGUGAGUAACACGUGGAUAACCUACCUAUAAGACUGGGAUAACUUCGGGAAACCGUAGCUAAUACCGGAUAAUAUUUUGAACCGCAAGGUUCAAAAGUGAAAGACGGUCUUGCUGUCACUUAUAGAUGGAUCCGCGCUGCAUUAGCUAGUUGGUAAGGUAACGGCUUACCAAGGCAACGAUGCAUAGCCGACCUGAGAGGGUGAUCGGCCACACUGGAACUGAGACACGGUCCAGACUCCUACGGGAGGCAGCAGUAGGGAAUCUUCCGCAAUGGGCGAAAGCCUGACGGAGCAACGCCGCGUGAGUGAUGAAGGUCUUCGGAUCGUAAAACUCUGUUAUUAGGGAAGAACAUAUGUGUAAGUAACUGUGCACAUCUUGACGGUACCUAAUCAGAAAGCCACGGCUAACUACGUG